GUCCUAAGCAAGUUAACCCAGGCAGUCACUCUGAGAUAAGCAGUUUCUUUUCAUGGAAAAAAGGGAAACGUCUACAGUCCACCGAAUCAAGAUUGAAUUCAAGUAGUAAGACAUCAUUUGCUUCGGUUCUGCCAACUCCACGAAGUGAAGGCGAGAUCUUACAAUCUUCUAAUUUGUGAAGUUUCAGCUUUAGUGAUCUGAAAACUGCUACAAGGAAUUUAAGGCCUGAUAAUGUGUUAGGUGAAGGUGGAUUUGGGUCUGUUUUUAAAGGAUGGAUUGAUGAGAGUACAUUUACAGCUACUAAGCCGGGGACCGGAAUUGUUAUUCUUUUGGGCAUUUUUGUAACAAGACAUGAAAAUGAAAUCCUUUUAUGCAUACGUUUUGUUGACCCUGAAGAACCAUCAUGAGCACUGCAGAGUAUCGGAGACAA
Long non-coding RNA from Papaver somniferum (opium poppy), 430 nucleotides. RefSeq lists it as uncharacterized. The record is from RefSeq and is a predicted model, not a curated record. Lineage: Eukaryota; Viridiplantae; Streptophyta; Magnoliopsida; Ranunculales; Papaveraceae. The transcript has 3 exons.